AGCGAACGUUAGCGGCAGGCCUAACACAUGCAAGUCGCACGAGAACAGGGCUUCGGCCCUCAGUAAAGUGGCGGACGGGUGCGUAACACGUGGGUAAUCUGCCCUCCGGUGGGGGAUAACUGUCCGAAAGGAUAGCUAAUACCGCAUUCGUCGGCGGGGACUUCGGUCCCCGUCGGGAAAGCUGCCCUCCUCAUGCACGGUAGCGCCGGAGGAUGCGCCCGCGGCCCAUCAGCGAGUGGGCGGGGUAAUAGACCACCAAGGCAAAGACGGGUAGCUGGUCUGAGAGGAUGAUCAGCCACACUGGGACUGAGACACGGCCCAGACUCCUACGGGAGGCAGCAGUGGGGAAUAUUGGGCAAUGGGCGCAAGCCUGACCCAGCCAUGCCGCGUGAGUGAUGAAGGCCUUCGGGUCGUAAAGCUCUGUGGGGAGGGACGAAAACCUGCAGCCUAAUACGCUGCAGACUGACGGUACCUCCUUAGCAAGCACCGGCUAACUCUGUGCCAGCAGCCGCCGUAA
This 517-nucleotide ribosomal RNA is filed under the name uncultured bacterium. RNAcentral describes it as "partial 16S ribosomal RNA". It matches the Rfam family "Bacterial small subunit ribosomal RNA", at positions 28 to 523 of the family's 1533-position model. The record is from RNAcentral.